CGAAAGGUCACUAGGGAUGGCAAAAUGUCUCAUACGCAGGGCGGAAACAUGGUCUCAGCCCGAAUCCUCCUCGAUUAACAUUUCUUUUUAUUUUUAUGUUUAUAAAUUUAAAUAAUAUUUUAAAAAUAAAAGUAAGUAAAAGAAUAAAAAUAUAUUCUUUGUUACUCGCAGCAAGAAAAGUCCACAAAAAAGAUUCAACCCUGAAAAGAUGAAACCUAACUUUUCUAGUCAUAUUUUCACACUGACUGCAUCUCUAUUUUUCAACUGAUUAGUUGUUGAAAAACAAAGUAAACUUCAAAGAAAAUGUAAUUUAUGGCGCAUUGAACUGUUUUUUCAAUUUUGAAGAUAUAAAGAAGAGAGUUGCAAUAAGUGUAUGUUGACAAUUAUCAUAAAAUUUUGUCAAAUCUUACAAAAUGUACAUAUAGCUCCCGUUUGAUUCCCAUUUAUUCAAGAAUGAAAAUGAAAAAUAUAGUCGUUACGAGACUCACACAAGAGAGAGAAAGUCAAAUAUAAUGACUUAAAGUACUGGAUAGUAGUCAUAUUUUUCAUUUUUAUGGUCAAAGAAUGGGAAACAAACGGGUCAUAGUUGGAAUACAUCCAUGUCCCCAUAGUAAGGACUGCUUGUUUUAUGUAAGUCUUGUUUUAACGGUGGACACGUAAAAUUUUCAAAAGUGUUUAUUUGACCAGACAAAAUUGGACUUUUGACUCCACCGAACAAAAGGUUUUAGCCAUUUACAUAAUUGUUUGUCAAUAUUAGUAGAGCCAAAAAUAACAUGGCUAGUGACAAAGGAUGCAGCUGGCUUAAAUUUUUCAAUAAAUCUAAUAAUAAAUCGAAGAGAUGGCACAAAGAAUUCGUCUAGUUUUCCUAGAUUUAUUGAGUUAAGGCUUUAUUUUUAUUUUUUUUCCUAUACAAGUAGUCACGUAUUGCGUGAAUUCCAUUAAAACAUAAAUCUAUAAAAUUCUUAAAUUUGUCUCUUAAUCUUAGGGUCCGUUUGAUUUGACCUGUUUUCCAUGAAAAUAUUUUCCAUUUUCCAACUAUGGCAUGUUUGAUGGCAAUAAUUUUCUUGGCAAUUUACUUCUUUCCUCCACACAUGUACCAUUUCCUUGGUUUUGUGGAACAUCAAUUCCCACCAAACCAAUGGGAAUUGGUUUUGCAGCCCCCCUCCCCCCUCCUUUUUUCGUAUUUGGAACAAAUUUUAUUUCCAAUUGCAAUAAAUUUUGUCCCUUUAAUUGACAAUUUUCAUAAAAAAACAAAGUACAAAGUCAAACAAACACCAAAAGAUAUAAAAUUUUAACAUUUUUCGGGUGGAAAAUUAUACCAAUCAAAUACAUUAGUUGACAAUUCUCAGGAAAACAAGUUCUAGAUAAUUCAAUUAUCUGAGAUUCGUUUUUUUUUUCACCUAAAUUCCAUUCUUGACCCUUAGUAUAAUUUCCUCCAUGAAAAAAAAAAAGGUUGAAUUUACCUUUAAAUGCAGCGUGGCCAGCGGCCGGAGCUGUGUUGCCUUCCCCUCCUACAUCAUGUCUUAUUCAAGUCUUGUUUGGCUAUUGAAAAUAAAACAAAAAGUGAUUAUAUUAUAUUGUCCAGAAACACUUAAUCCUGAGAAAAUUCGUUUAUUUUUAGCAAGAAAUGGCUAUGGAAUACUGAAUUUUUGGAGGAUUUGAGGGGAAUGAAGCCUGGUCCGAGAUCAGUCGCAGGAUGUCUGAAUAUCAUGGAAUGGUCUCGAACCAGGCAACAUUCACCUCAACAAUUCAUCUGUAUUACGAGAGAGAGAGAGAAAAGAUGGGAGUGUUUGAUUUUAACACGGCUAUACAUGCAUUGCUUUCAUGGGGCCUUUAUAUAUACGUGAGGAUGACAGAUGACUACUACUGCUACUUUCUACACCUCAUUUCAUGCUUUUCACACACACACACACCCACACACACGAUAUUAAGAUGGGAAUUAUUUGUAUAAAACACAUGAUUUGAAAGUUUAAGCUGUUAAAAACGAGUACACGUAUGUCAACACGUUUCUUCACAUGAGACGAGUUUCAUUUUUUGGUGAAAUAUAAACUUUCUUGUUUAAAAAUGUGACACGUAUAUAAUUUAAAUAUUGUCGUAAAGCUUUGAGAAGAAAAGGGCAUCAAAUUUUUUAUUUUUCUUUUUUCAAUUUAGAAUCGAGUAUAUUGCGUUAAAGAUUAGCCGAAAUCCGUCUUUCUCAUGGUUGUCGGUUAUUGGGGGCAAUGCAUGAAUUUAGACAUGUUUAGUAUGUAUGAUAAUUACUAAGGCCCUAUUUGAAAGUGAUUUUGAGAAUUGAUUUUGUGACCGUUAGGAAAAAAGUGGGAAUCACUUGUGAGAGAAGAAGUCAAAUUUUACGGGUGGAAUAGUAAAAUAACGGUUAAAAAAUCAAUUUUUUAGAAUGAAAAAUCACUCCCAAACAAGCUCUAAAUUGGAUUAGACAAUACAAUGGACUCUCAAAUAUUUUAUCCAUAGUCGUCCGAGUCUAAUUAAUAUCACUUGUCAUUAAUGAUCACAGCUUAAUAAAUUAAUUUGUUGGUUAUAACUUAUGACUAAAAUAAAUGAUUCUUUUUGUAGCCUUCAAUAAGUAAAGCUGAUAAAGAUGGAAAUCGAGGACCUAAUCAGUCAUUGUCCCUAAAGAGUGAUUCCAAACUUGAAUCUAAAGGAAUUAGGGGUUGGCUACUAAAAGCAAGAUCAGAAUCAAAAGAGACAAGAAGGAACUCGAAUCAGACACAUAAUUCGAUCAGUAGUGCCCUGACUAUAGACGAGAUAGGCGAUCGCCUAAGGCCCCGCUUUGAUGAGGGCCCCAAAUUAUAUAAGGUUAAUUGGUUGGUUAAAGAAAAAUGAAAAUUAUAUUUAUAAAAUUCUUUAAAAUAGAAUUAUCACAUGCAAACACAAUAAACCAAUAAAAAUUGAAAAUACAAAAAUCUUUUAAAAAAUAUAUAAAUGACAUAAAACUUAUUACUUACAUUUAUUUAUCACAUAAAUAUAUCACAAAUAUUACUUUAUUUCUUUAUGACUAAUUUGACACUUUAUUUUUUAAACAUUUCUUUUCUUUUCUUAACCAAAUAAAAUGUCUCUUUAUCUAUUCAAAUUCCACUCACCCAUCAUAGUUUUUUUCAACAAAACAAGAAAUAAAGAGUAAUGCUAUUUAUAAUUGCUUAUUGUCAUAAUCGUCUUAUGUGGCGGUUAGUGAUUUGAUGCAUUACUACCACAUUGAUGGAUCAAAUCACUAGCCGUCACAUGUAUAUCAUAUAGGGCAAUUGUAGUAGUAAGCGACUGCAAAUAUAAUUAUUCAGAAAUUAGUUAUCUNUAUUUUUUCUAUAGAAAUGAAAAACCUACUUACCCAUUAAACAUAUUAUAUGCCUAUGUUUGGACCUUAUUUUUUCAAAAAAUCAUUUUAUUUUUUCAAAACUCAUUUUGAACUACAUAUUCUCCCAUAAAAUAAUUUUACACACAAAUUCAAUACUUUUCUUUAUUUUUUAAUUAAAUAUUCUCUUACAAAAUAUUAUUCUAAAAUGCAUUUUGACUAAAAAAUGAGACUCAAAUAGAGACUAUAUAUGAACCGUUAAGCCCGUUGUACACUGUUAGAUGACAGCAAUUUUGAAAUGUAUAGAAAUCUUGGCCAUUGAUCAAAAAAGGUGUCGACAAAAUCUUUUUAUAAUAAUUCAAUUAAUCUUGUUGGACAGGGUCAAUGACACCCUCUUGACAGACUUUUGAAUUUUCCCACGUGUCAAAGGCAAUUUCACGAGGGAAAUAAGAGCAGCACGUGAGAGGGAGAAAAAGGCAUUUCUUGAGAUAAAUGAGGGAAAUACGCAGACAUUUAAGAGGAAAAAUAGAGCAGCACCGGUACCAUAAUUUUUUCCCCAAAUUGAAAAAAAGAAAUUCUGAUUUUGGUUUUGCCCGGCGUGAGAUCUUCAACAGGUACCUGUACGGCCACGACUGUGAUUCUAAUUUCUUGCUCUAAUCUUUUGUCGCCAACAUUCCAAGAAAAGUCCGUUAAUUAGUAAGUUUCUAAUUUUGUUCGAUUCUUUAAUUAGCCCUCAUUUGUUUCUCGUUUUUGGAAGAAUGAAAAUGAAAAAUAUAAUCGUUACGAACCCCACACAAGAGAUAGAAAUUCAAAUUUGAUGGCUUGAUGUGAUAGAUAACGAUUAUAUUUUUCAUUUUAAUGAGAAAAGAAUGAGAACCAACAGAAGCUUAAUAAGUUUCCUUCUUUGUUUGGGUUGAAACCAAAGAAGACAUUAAUUCUUUUGAAGCACUUCAACCAUUUAACUGAGCUUGUAGAAGUUUGUUACCCUAUUUGGUUGGAAAAAUAGAGAAACUGCAUUCAAUGUUCAUUUAAUAUAAACCAAUUCUCCCAAAAACAGGGAAACAACAUUCAAUGUUCAUUUAAUACGAACCAAUUUAUCACCAAAAUAAAAAAAAACGGUGGUCCCGAUCAAACACUAUUCGUUUGGACUUAAUGAGAUAGGACAUCCUUGUGUUCAAGUCAACGACUAUUUGAUAAUUUCAAUUCUAGAUCAUACAAGAAAAUAAUAAACCUGGCCCAACUUUUUCAGUUUUUCAGGUAAUCAAAUAGAAAAUCAAAAGCCCAAUUUGAAAUCAAGAUUGAAUCCAUGCUUGUAUGAUGGGUAUUGGGGUUUCCAUGGGUAUUCUGUAAAGAAGUGGCUUUUAGAUUUAUAACUAUAACAGAUUCUAUAAUUUCUUCUGACCAUUCUACGAUGGGAAUAAACCAUAGAGCAAUGUCAAUGCAAACAAAAGCUAAUUCAGUAUGACGAUUCACGCAAUCAAAGGGAAUUAAAUCACAAUUAAAGGAGGAAACACCGAACAACCAUCAAAAUUAUCCCAAAAUGUGUAGCUAGUAUAAAAUCGAAUAUAUAUAAUAAAUCUUGAUUCUCAAUGAAUUAGGCUAAAAUUCUCCAACAAAAAUGACAAAAUUCACUCAUCCAGGUCAAUAACAUUUGAACAAAUUGUAUUCACAAGCUUACAAAAUGGGGGUGAGUUCCUUUUCUACCUGUGUAGAGCAUACAAGUGAAAAUUGACAUGAGUGAGAGAAAUCUAGUGCUGAUUUAGCUAUCGAUUGGAGAUGGUCAAGCAUGAGGCGACGAAAACAUGGAUGUAAGAGCAGUUAGAGUAGAGGCAAAAAUGUCGAGUGAAGUGCAACCGGAGAUCCAAAAUCAUCAAACAGCGGAAUAGUAGAUGCAAGUGUUGUCGAAGGAGCAGUGAUACUUUCGAUUGACACGCAGACGGAGAUGGUGAGCCGUGGGGAGAGGCCUUGAAGGUGUGGAUUUUGAUUUCACUGAAAUGUAUUCUGAUAAGUGCGUUUUUAUGCACUCAUUUAACUAACAAACAUGACUAAAUUACGAGCAAAGUGUUUGAAUUAUGGCUUAAAUUUGUUUAAUUCGUGUACUAUAGGUCAUAUUGAUGGACAUGAUGGAAUUCACGAGAAAAAGAAGUGAAAAGGACCAAAAUGAAAAUUUAGGAACCAAAGCGCAAAUAUCCAAAAGUUGAACUAAAAGACGAAUCGAAAAUUUGAUUGUACCACUACCAAUUGGAGGAUAAUAAAGGUCGAUAGAAUGAGAUGAACGAAGAAACGAGGCCAAAGUGGAAGAGAGGAAAGUUCAAGGAUUAAAAUGAAUAUAUUCAAAAGUGUGCUUCUAUGCUACCGCAAGUGUUAUACCUAUGCGGUUGCAAGCUAGGUUACCGAAAGUGAAAAGUCCAAAAUUUUUAUUCCUAGGCGGUCGUAUAGGCUCAUUUUGGUGGCCGUUUCAGCAAUUUUUUAUUUACGUUAAAAUUCUUUUGGAACUCGAUCUUGACGCGAUAUAAAAGUUUAGACUCGUCAGAAUUAGGGUUAGAACGCAUUGGAGGAGUACAAAACAUAUCUUAGAAUCGAAUUUGAGGGAGAUUUAGGAUUUCAAAAAGAACAUCAAGAUUUCACCUGUAUCUAUAAUUUGGUAAUGUUUUAUCUUCGAGAAUUCAUAUAUUCUUUUAUGUUUUCCAUGUUAAGCUAGAUUUUCUUGUACUAGGAGAUUGAUGAGCUAUGUAAUGUCAUCUUUGGAUUUUAAUUUUUUCAAUUUAACAAUUAAACGCGUAUUUAAUUAUAUGAAUGGUUUAUAAGCAUUAAUUUAUUCCAUAAUUAAGUGCACGUAAUUAUAUGAUAUGUAGUAAUUUAUUUCUUACAUUUGAGAGAAUGGAAAUAGAUUUGACAAGGUAUAAAUUAUUGUAGGAUCCGAUAGGGGAUAAAAAUAUACAUUUAUACUUUGCGUGAAUCGUUAAUUGUUCAUAAAACUACAUGCAUUCUUAUGUAUAUACAUCCUUCAUAGAGAUAUAAGUUGGUGGUAUAUAAGAAUAAGUUUGAUAUUGCUCGCAAGAGUAUGUUGGAUAGAUUUAGGAACAUUGAUUCUUCAAUAAUCCAAUCGUGUUGUCAGAUUGUGAAAUUAGGGUUUUAAGUGAUCAUUACAUAGGAAUUUGUGAUCCCAGUCCGUUUAAUUCUUAUUGAGUAAAUUCAACCUACAUUUCAAUCAUCACAUUGCAUUUAAAUUCAUUUAGAUACAUCGUUUUGCAUUUUCAAUUCAUUCAACAAUCAUUCUAGUCAAAUUAGGGUUUGAUAUAUUAGGGUUUUUUAGGUUAAAACUUCAAAUUUGAUAAAUUCGUUUCGGUUAAGGCUAAAAUAGAUAAAGUUGAACUACUCGAUCUAUGUGAGACGAUAUUCGAAAAUUAAUAUUCCACUUUAUUACUUGUGAACGAACCGUACACUUGCUGUAAAUUAAAUGGAAAGAAAAUAUUUCGUAAACACAUUCCAUGGGUGGUGGGUGUUGAAUUGGGGGAAAGCAAUUCCGUUGGAUCUUUUAAGUUUCUAAUUUUUUGCUUUUUUUUUCUUUUUUAAAUUUUGAAUGCCAUGUAAGCCGGGAAAUGGCCUGUAAAUGAAUUGUCCGUCUAGCGGAAUUGAUAAUAAUUUACCAACUCACAUGAUCUCAAAGGAAUCGUCAAGCUUAUAUAUUGCAUGAUUGAUAUAUACAAUGGGAUUUGCUUAUUGUAAUAGUGAAAAGUACAUAAUGGGACAAGACUAAAGGGCAUAUUAUGAUUACAGUCUCAUGAGAAGACAGAAAAUUCAAAUGUCAUCUUCGAUUGAUAUAUUGACUUAAAAAGUUGGAUUACAAUCAACAUUUGCUCUAUUCAUACACUUUUCAGAAUUCACAACUUAUCAAAUUUUUAAUCAAAAUAAACUAUUUUUCUUUUUAGUCAAACAACUCUUUAAUGAUAAUGAUUAAACAAUAAUAAAAUAAAGUACAUAUCCAAAUGAGAUUGUGAACGCAAGAUCUCGGUGGAAUGACUAGACGGAUGGAGGAUCACAUAGAACUAUUUUGCGAUGAAAAAAUUUGUACAAAGAGACUUCGACCAUUCAUCAAAAUUUAUGUUAACAAAUAACUGCUAUUUACAAUGUCGAAAGGUCAUUAGGGAUGGCAAAAUGUCUCAGAUGCAGGGCGGAAACAUGGUCUCGGCCCGAAUCCUCCUCGAUUAACAUUUAUUUUUAUUUUUAUGUUUAUAAAUUUAAAUAAUAUUUUAAAAGUAAAAGUUAUUAGAAGAAUAAAAAUAUAUUCUUUGUUACUCGCAGCAAGAAAAGUCCACAAAAAAGAUUCAACCCUGAAAAGAUGAAACCUAACUUUUCUAGUCAUAUUUUCACACUGACUGCAUCUCUAUUUUUCAACUGAUUAGUUGUUGAAAAACAAAGUAAACUUCAAAGAAAAUGUAAUUUAUGGCGCAUUGAACUGUUUUUUCAAUUUUGAAGAUAUAAAGAAGAGAGUUGCAAUAAGUGUAUGUUGACAAUUAUCAAAAAAAUUUGUCAAAUCUUACAAAAUGUACAUAUAGCCCCCGUUUGAUUCCCAUUUAUGCAAGAAUGAAAAUGAAAAAUAUAGUCGUUACGAGACUCACACAAGAGAGAGAAAGUCAAAUAUAAUGACUUGAAGUACUGGAUAACAGUCAUAUUUUUUAUUUUUAUGGUCAAAAAAUGGGAAACAAACGGGGUCAUAGUUGGAAUGGAUCCAUGUCCCCAUAUUAAGGACUGAUUGUUAUAUGUAAGUCUUGUUUUAACGGUGGACACGUAAAAUUUUCAAAAGUGUUUAUUUGACCAGACAAAAUUGGACUUUUGACUCCACCGAACAAAAGGUUUUAGCCAUUUACAUAAUUGUUUGUCAAUAUUAGUAGAGCCAAAAAUAAUAUGGCUAAUGACGAAGGAUCCAGCUGGCUUAAAUUUUUCAAUAAAUUUAAUACUAAAUCGAAGAGAGUGGCACAAAGAAUUCGUCUAGUUUUCCUAGAUUUAUUGAGUUAAGGCUUUAUUUUUAUUUUUUUUCCUAUACAAGUAGUCACGUAUUGCGUGAAUUCCAUUAAAACAUAAAUCUAUAAAAUUCUUGAAUUUAUCUCUUAAUCUUAGGGUCCGUUUGAUUUCGCCUGUUUUCCAUGGAAAUAUUUUCCAUUUUCCAACUUUGGCAUGUUUGAUGGCAAUAAUUUUUUUGGCAAUUUACUUCUUCACUCCACACAUGUGCCAUUUCCUUAGUUUUGUGAAACAUUAAUUCCCACCAAACCCAUGGGAAUUGGUUUUCCGGCCCCCACCCUCCCCCCUCCUUUUUUUGCAUUUGGAACAAAUUUUAUUUCCAAUUGUAACAAACUUUGUCCCUUUAAUUAACAAUUUUCAUGAAAAACAAAGUACAAAGUCAAACAAACACCAAAAAAUAGAAAAUUUCAACAUUUUUCCGAUGGAAAAUUAUACCAAUCAAAUACAUUAGUUGACAAUUAUUAGGAAAACAAGUUUAGGUAAGAAUUCGUUUUCUUUUCACCUAAAUUCCAUUCUUGACCCUUAGUAUAAUUUCCUCCAUGAAAAAAAAAAAAAAAACAAAAACAAAAGAAGAAGUUGAAUUUACCUUUAAAUGCAGCGUGGCCAGCGGCCGGAGCAGUUUCGCCUUCCCCUCCUACAUCAUGUCUUAUUCAAGUCUUGUUUGGCUAUUGAAAAUAAAACAAAAAGUGAUUAUAUUAUAUGGUCCAGAAACACUUAAUCCUGAGAAAAUCCGUUUAUGUUUAGCAAGAAAUGGCUAUGGAAUACUGAAUUUUUGGAGGAUUUGAGGGGAAUGAAGCCUGGUCCGAGAUCAGUCGCAGGAUGUCUGAAUAUCAUGGAAUGGUCUCGAACCAGGCAACAUUCACCUCAACAAUUCAUCUGUAUUUACGAGAGAGAAAGAGAGAAAAGAUGGGAGUGUUUG
This 9245-nucleotide long non-coding RNA is filed under the name Olea europaea subsp. europaea. The record is from RNAcentral. Lineage: Eukaryota; Viridiplantae; Streptophyta; Magnoliopsida; Lamiales; Oleaceae.